AUUGAACGCUGGCGGCAUGCCUUACACAUGCAAGUCGAACGGCAGCAUGAUCUAGCUUGCUCGAUUGAUGGCGAGUGGCGAACGGGUGGGUAAUACAUCGGAACGUGCCCUGUAGUGGGGGAUAACUAGUCGAAAGAUUAGCUAAUACCGCAUACGACCUGAGGGUGAAAGUGGGGGACCGCAAGGCCUCAUGCUAUAGGAGCGGCCGAUGUCUGAUUAGCUAGUUGGUGAGGUAAAGGCUCACCAAGGCGACGAUCAGUAGCUGGUCUGAGAGGACGAUCAGCCACACUGGGACUGAGACACGGCCCAGACUCCUACGGGAGGCAGCAGUGGGGAAUUUUGGACAAUGGGCGAAAGCCUGAUCCAGCAAUGCCGCGUGUGUGAAGAAGGCCUUCGGGUUGUAAAGCACUUUUGUCCGGAAAGAAAUGGCUCUGGUUAAUACCUGGGGUCGAUGACGGUACCGGAAGAAUAAGGACCGGCUAACUACGUG
This 490-nucleotide ribosomal RNA is filed under the name uncultured bacterium. RNAcentral's name for it is "partial 16S ribosomal RNA". It matches the Rfam family "Bacterial small subunit ribosomal RNA", at positions 30 to 507 of the family's 1533-position model. The record is from RNAcentral.